CCUACGGGAGGCAGCAGUGGGGAAUCUUGCGCAAUGGGCGAAAGCCUGACGCAGCCAUGCCGCGUGGAUGAUGAAGGUCUUAGGAUUGUAAAAUCCUUUCACCGGGGACGAUAAUGACGGUACCCGGAGAAGAAGCCCCGGCUAACUUCGUGCCAGCAGCCGCGGUAAUACGAAGGGGGCUAGCGUUGCUCGGAAUUACUGGGCGUAAAGGGCGCGUAGGCGGACAUUUAAGUCGGGGGUGAAAUCCCAGGGCUCAACCCUGGAACUGCCUUCGAUACUGGAUGUCUUGAGUGCGGGAGAGGUGUGUGGAACUCCGAGUGUAGAGGUGAAAUUCGUAGAUAUUCGGAAGAACACCAGUGGCGAAGGCGACACACUGGCCCGUUACUGACGCUGAGGCGCGAAAGCGUGGGGAGCAAACAGGAUUAGAUACCCUGGUAGUCCACGCCGUAAACGAUGAUUGCUAGUUGUCGGAGUGCAUGCACUUCGGUGACGCAGCUAACGCAUUAAGCAAUCUGCCUGGGGAGUACGGUCGCAAGAUUAAAACUCAAAUGAAUUGACGG
RNAcentral lists this ribosomal RNA (560 nucleotides) under uncultured bacterium. RNAcentral's name for it is "bacterial SSU rRNA". It matches the Rfam family "Bacterial small subunit ribosomal RNA", at positions 338 to 916 of the family's 1533-position model. The record is from RNAcentral.